CCAGUAAUAAAGGCUAAUUGAGCUGAGAAUAUAAAGAGGACGCUGAUAGCAGAAUUAAUUCACACUUGGAGCUUUAACCAGAGCUAGCAGCACCGGCGUUGUUAGCUCCAUUUCCUGCACUUUUUUUUUUACCGCAUGCAUUUCAGGGGAAGAAAAUAAAAGAGGCUGACAAAUUGCCAUUCUGUUCAGGCUGCAAAAUAAUUUCCGAGUAAACACACCAGCCAUAGCAGACUGACUUUGACAAAAAAUUGGGAGAGCAAACCAUGGAUUUCAAUACGUGUUGUAGUUUGUGAGACCUGACAAGUGGAGAUCAGAGACACGUGAACAGAUCAACCCAUUUAAAUGAACACAUGACCUUUAAUGGAACUGAGCUUUCUAAUCCUUCGCUGACCUGCAGAGGACCGUUGUGGCACAAACCAGGUACAAUAAACUCAUCGUUUUGCUGUAUGAAAGAUACUAGUGACAGCUUUCAAAGAUUAAAGUUCAAAAUGCAGUAAAAUACUCAUGGCAAGUCCUAAAUUAUAAAGUUAUAUUUACACUUAUAUAUAUAUAUAUUAUGAACAAAUAAGUAAUUGCUCGCAAUUUCCACUCAUGUCAAUCUAGCAAGUAAUCUAUUGCCACUUUCUCUUCCAUCAUGUUAAAAUAUAUAUCUUAUUUUAAUAGUAAAUUACUCUGCAUACCUUACAUUUUCAAAAUAAAACAUUCUGAUUGCAA
Long non-coding RNA from Chiloscyllium plagiosum (whitespotted bambooshark), 714 nucleotides. RefSeq lists it as uncharacterized. The record is from RefSeq and is a predicted model, not a curated record. Lineage: Eukaryota; Metazoa; Chordata; Chondrichthyes; Orectolobiformes; Hemiscylliidae.